GUUUUUGUUUUUUACUCAAAACGAACGUCAGUAUUGGAAUCAGCAUGUAAAAAUUAGUAGGGAGGGUCCUAUCUAAAUUUUGCUAAAGAGGCAGAUGCUGACAUGGCAAUGACGUGUUGCUAAGUUGGCUGUUGGUGUCAAUGAUGUCAGGUGACAUGUCGAUGACAUCAGUAGUGCAGGGGCCAAAAUUGUGUGUUUAGGAGUAGGAGAGGGAAUGGGAGCUUGCUUGUGUUUGACCUGACCUAGUUGAAAGUCACCAUCGGGAUGUCUUCCCAAAGGGGUAAGGUCAUCACUCAUCAGCAUGUAGCGAGUCUAUAGGAAGUGUCGUGGCAUCAAAAUUGGAUUCAAAUCAAAUCCAACUUGUCGAGUUCUCAAGUUUUAGGUAGCUUCUGAUUGUUGGAGUUGUGCCAUUGGAGUUGCCUUCGGCCAAGGAGAAGGUUAGUGAAGGCGGUGCAGCAAUCUGUUGAUGGGAGAUUGGUGGGUGUUGAUGGAGGGAAUGGCGACAACUCUGUGGGAAAUUUUCAAAGAAGAUAAAACAUAGUUUGGAUUUUUAGGGCUUUGAUACCUAAUUGAUGUAGAAG
This 581-nucleotide unclassified non-coding RNA is filed under the name Hevea brasiliensis (rubber tree). Lineage: Eukaryota; Viridiplantae; Streptophyta; Magnoliopsida; Malpighiales; Euphorbiaceae. The record is from RNAcentral.